AACGCUAGCGGCAGGCUUAAUACAUGCAAGUUGAGGGGCAGCAUGAUAUACGCGAGUAUAUUGAUGGCGACCGGCGGACGGGUGAGUAAUAGGUAGGAGACCUACCUCAUACAGGGGGAUAGCAUAGAGAAAUCUGUGGUAAUACCCCAUGAGGUUAUAUGAAUAGAGGCAUAUAAUCAAAGCAUAAGCGAUUAUGCGGUAUGAGAGGGGCCUACUGACCAUUAGCUAGUUGGUGAGGUAAGGGCUCACCAAGGCGAAGAUGGUUAGGGGUUUUGAGAGAGAGACCCCCCACAUUGGAACUGAGAUACGGUCCAGACUCCUACGGGAGGCAGCAGUAGGGAAUAUUGGGCAAUGGGCGGAAGCCUGACCCAGCCAUGCCGCGUGAAGGAAGACGGCCUUAUGGGUUGUAAACUUCUUUACUAUGCGACUAACUAGAUUUACGAGAUAAUUCUAUAGAAUGUAGCAUAGCAAAAAGCACCGGCUAACUCCGUG
This 492-nucleotide ribosomal RNA is filed under the name uncultured bacterium. RNAcentral describes it as "bacterial SSU rRNA". It matches the Rfam family "Bacterial small subunit ribosomal RNA", at positions 32 to 507 of the family's 1533-position model. The record is from RNAcentral.